This 23-nucleotide microRNA is filed under the name Oreochromis niloticus (Nile tilapia). RNAcentral describes it as "oni-miR-10628". Lineage: Eukaryota; Metazoa; Chordata; Actinopteri; Cichliformes; Cichlidae. The record is from miRBase by way of RNAcentral.
UCGGUGGGUGUAGUUGUUGGAGG